Molecule: non-coding RNA, 181 nt
Rfam family: 6S / SsrS RNA
About the family: E. coli 6S RNA was the first non coding RNA to be sequenced, but its function was unknown until recently. It consists of 184 nucleotides that fold into an extended hairpin structure with a large single-stranded internal bulge.
Source: Rfam
UUUCGCCUGAGGUGUACGUUGCUUGUUACGUCCCUGAGCCGAUAUUUAAAACUCCUUGAGUUGAGCUCCUAUUUGUUGGUGAGCAGGCUCGCCUAGCGAGAAGCCUAAAAAUGAAUAUGUUCGACUCCCUUGAACCUUCUGGUUCAAGGACCACAACAGGUAACGGCACUUCGGGUCUUUU